Molecule: small RNA, 2716 nt
Filed under: Rattus norvegicus (Norway rat)
Lineage: Eukaryota; Metazoa; Chordata; Mammalia; Rodentia; Muridae
Description: uncharacterized LOC102552764
Source: RNAcentral
GAUGGACUCCGAAGGCCGGGUCUCUUGGUUGUGCACCUUUAAAGGUGGUUUGGAAGAAUUAGAUGACUCCAGAUAGUUUUAGAAAACUCCAUCUGACUUCUCUACAGACAGAGGAGAGCAGCCGGAACACUGACGGAGAAUUUGAGGACUUGGCUAGGAAUGCCAUCUUCAGAAUUCUGACCUCUCAGAGCCCAGAGAGAACCACAAGCUGGGGACUGCACUUUGUUAGGUAGCCUGAAGACCCAUCCAAAAUACCAUGGAAGGAGGGCAUUGAACAUGCAGGGGUCAGCAAGAUGCCUCAACAGAUAGAGACGCCGUGAAGCCCGAUGACCAGAAUUCAAGUCCACGGCGUCCACAUGGUAGAAGUCAAGAGCUGACUCUAGAAGUUUGUCUUCUGACUACCACACACACGCUGUGCCACGCCUGUCUCCCUCCCCAGGGAAUGAGUAAGUAGCGGGAAAGCAUCGAACCACUUCCAAACCAUUGCACUCUCUCGAUCUGAACACCCAGGCUAGGGUCUUAGACACUGAGCAUUAAGGCUUCUCAGUUACAAGGUGGGGGCUUCCAAGUUAGUAGGACAAUGGACUCAUACGAUGCCAGGACCAUGGCAGGUGCCCACAGUCAGUGGGGCUUUCUUUUAUCACGACCAUCAUCUGGAGACACAUGAAUCAGAUCAGUUCUUCUGUGGCCUCUUGGCGGUGUACCGAUUCUGCCUUUUUUACUUGUGGCCUGGAGAAAUAGCGAUUCCCAACUUCCUAAGGCAGUAUUUCAAGAUUCACUGACUGUGUGUGUACCUGUGAUUCUCAAGUGUGCCUACCUACCGCCAUCAGUAAAUGGUGGCAAAGAGUAUGACCUGUUCUCAUCGGAACUCAUGUUGAAGUUUAAUUCCAGAUGCAAGAAAAGCCAUCAGUGUCCCCUGUUCUCCACUGUCACAAUAUUAGUUUGUCUGCCCUGCCUCACACUGCCCACCAUGAUGCAGGGGACCCACUGAAGUCAUCAACGAAGUAAGUCUUUCUCUCACUUAAAUUGUUUCUGUCAGGCGUUUUCUCAGAGCAGUGGACAAAAUGAGUAAUAAAAAUUGGGUUGAGUUUGUUCUCUUGAAGAGUUGGCUACAAAAAACAAAAAAAACAAAACAAAAACUAAGCUUCUUUCCUUGCCACCUCUUAUGUUCUUCAUGUGUGUCCCCCCUCUCACCCUUCCCCUUCUCUCCGUUAGCUUCCGCCUGACACGUGAUGCAGCCAGGGAACCCUCACUGAACCUUCUAGCCAUCAGAAUCGGGGCUCAGGUUCCAGAGCUGGUGUCACAUACCCUUGCCUCAGCCUAGAGGUUUGCCUAUCAGGAAACAAGGCUGGCACCUUCUACAGCGGGUUCUGGGAUUUAGGAUUAGCCAGGAAUCAGCACAGUCUGGGAGAGCAAUGGAAGAUCACAGUAUUCACGAACAAGGACAGAUUGACCCGGGACAGGACACAGAACAUACUGUUCCGAGCCAUGGAGCAGAGAAAGGUUUCUCAGUGUCUACCCCACAGACUGGCAGCAUCUAUCCCUCUUUUCGGUGACAGAACUCUUGACUGCCACAAGUCAUGCAGCUGACUUUCCUGCCUUCAGAGGAGUCACGGGUUAACAUGCCUAGACUGCGAUGGAUGAGCCUCAUCUUGGGAAAAUCACCCUCAUGACCACGAGAUCUCCCCUGCCAGGAGGAGCAACAGUGUGGCAUAAAGUUAACCAUGAUCCUAGGAGUCACACAGCCCAGGCUCAAACAUGACUUCUUGUUUCCAGCUGAUCAGUCCGUCUUAGAUGUGAUGUGAUCAGCUGCCUUAAACUCCUGUAGAUUUGACUUCCUGGCUGUGACCGUCUUCACCUUGAACUGAACUGACAACCUCUCCCUCAUGGAGGACUCCCAGCCAGCCAGUAUCAGCCACGGAUGCUCGCCCUAGCAUCUCUCAAGCCCUUGCUGGGAUAUUGUGGGUCACUAGACUGCAGAGCGACAGCAGAGGUGUGUGGCCAUUUCUUGCUCGUGGUGGCAAAUGCAGGGUGCAGGACUUCUAUGGAGAUGCUCGGCUUUUCUGGGUACACUGCUUCUCAUUGUGUAAAUACGAAAUGUCCUCCAGAAGCCAUGUUUGAACCCUUAAGCCCCACGUGGUGACGGCGGGAAGGCGACAGAACCAUUAGGGUGCUGCUUUGCUGGAAGUGCUUCAUCGCUUGGCUUUGGUAUUUUAGUUGGCAUUUGUCUAUUUUUACUUUAUAUUUUCUUUCUCUGCUUCCUGGGUGUGAACGAAAUGGGAUCACUCUGCUCCCUGGCUGCCGAGCCAGCCUCUCGUUCCGGCAUUGGUGUGCUUUCCCCGCUAGGAUAGACUCUACGUCAUCUGGAACUGUAAGCCAGAAUAAACCAUUUCUUCGGCAAGCUACCCUGUUGUAGUAAUUGUUAGAAAAGAAUCUAGCAUGGCAUUAGCGGGUACAUUCAUCUCAGCAGCUGCCUGUCCCAGGGUACCCUGUCAUGCUACCCCCAACUAUUUCCUGUCCCCAGCGGUCUGUCCACCCCAGGUAGUCGCAUGCCAUGGCCGCCCCUUCCUGGCUGGCUCUCUGCCUCGAACUCUGCUCACAUUCCCUGUAACCUGGUAAAAUCGAGACCCAAAAAGCUUAUUAAUUUAGCAAUCAGAUUUAUAUGUUGAAUUUUCAAUCCACAAUACAUCCACACAAUAAACUCAGAGCCGAGUGA